RNAcentral lists this ribosomal RNA (468 nucleotides) under uncultured bacterium. RNAcentral's name for it is "partial 16S ribosomal RNA". It matches the Rfam family "Bacterial small subunit ribosomal RNA", at positions 28 to 507 of the family's 1533-position model. The record is from RNAcentral.
GACGAACGCUGGCGGCGUGCUUAACACAUGCAAGUCGAACGGAAAGGCCCUGCUUUUGUGGGGUGCUCGAGUGGCGAACGGGUGAGUAACACGUGAGUAACCUGCCCUUGACUUUGGGAUAACUUCAGGAAACUGGGGCUAAUACCGGAUAGGAGCUCCUUCUGCAUGGUGGGGGUUGGAAAGUUUCGGCGGUUGGGGAUGGACUCGCGGCUUAUCAGCUUGUUGGUGGGGUAGUGGCUUACCAAGGCUUUGACGGGUAGCCGGCCUGAGAGGGUGACCGGCCACAGUGGGACUGAGAUACGGCCCAGACUGCUACGGGAGGCAGCAGUGGGGAAUAUUGCACAAUGGGCGGAAGCCUGAUGCAGCAACGCCGCGUGCGGGAUGACGGCCUUCGGGUUGUAAACCGCUUUCGCCUGUGACGAAGAGUGAGUGACGGUAAUGGGUAAAGAAGCAACGGCUAACUACGUG